CGCGGCCUAUCAGCUUGUUGGUGAGGUAACGGCUCACCAAGGCAUCGACGGGUAGCUGGUCUGAGAGGACGAUCAGCCACACUGGGACUGAGACACGGCCCAGACUCCUACGGGAGGCAGCAGUGGGGAAUCUUGCGCAAUGGGCGAAAGCCUGACGCAGCGAUGCCGCGUGGGGGAUGAAGGCUCUCGGGUCGUAAACCCCUUUCAGCAGGGACGAAAAUGACGGUACCUGCAGAAGAAGCCCCGGCCAACUACGUGCCAGCAGCCGCGGUAACACGUAGGGGGCAAGCGUUGUCCGGAUUUAUUGGGCGUAAAGGGCUCGUAGGCUGUUCGGUAAGUCAGGUGUGAAAACCCAAGGCUCAACCUUGGGACGCCACUUGAUACUGCUGUGACUAGAGUUCGGUAGAGGAGAUUGGAAUUCCUGGUGUAGCGGUGAAAUGCGCAGAUAUCAGGAGGAACACCAACGGCGAAGGCAGAUCUCUGGGCCGAUACUGACGCUGAGGAGCGAAAGCGUGGGGAGCGAACAGGAUUAGAUACCCUGGUAGUCCACGCCGUAAACGUUGGGCACUAGGUGUGGGAUUCAUUCAACGGAUUCCGUGCCGUAGCUAACGCAUUAAGUGCCCCGCCUGGGGAGUACGG
RNAcentral lists this ribosomal RNA (639 nucleotides) under uncultured bacterium. RNAcentral's name for it is "bacterial SSU rRNA". It matches the Rfam family "Bacterial small subunit ribosomal RNA", at positions 232 to 885 of the family's 1533-position model. The record is from RNAcentral.